UUCCAAGUGUUCCGCAAUGGUCGUCCGCCUGGGGCAGAAAGGCGGUAGGCUCCAUUUUGUAAAUUUUCUAGUACCCGGAAUGGGCCGUCCCAUUUCGCCGCAAGCUUUCCGUGCGCUUGCUCCUUUCUAGCAUCUCCGGUGUUUCUCCACACUAGAUCUCCCUCCUGGAAACUCCUCGGUCGCACCUUAGUGUUAUACCGUCGCUCCACUAAACGCCGACAGGCCUCCGCGUGUAGCACAGCGCGAUCCCUACGUUCCUCU
Molecule: long non-coding RNA, 261 nt
Filed under: Vigna radiata
Lineage: Eukaryota; Viridiplantae; Streptophyta; Magnoliopsida; Fabales; Fabaceae
Description: long non-coding RNA (VRAD_LNC009196)
Source: RNAcentral